Molecule: ribosomal RNA, 693 nt
Filed under: Pseudomonas azotoformans
Lineage: Bacteria; Pseudomonadati; Pseudomonadota; Gammaproteobacteria; Pseudomonadales; Pseudomonadaceae
Description: bacterial SSU rRNA
Rfam family: Bacterial small subunit ribosomal RNA
Source: RNAcentral
AGCGGUAGAGAAAAGCUUGCUUUUCUUGAGAGCGGCGGACGGGUGAGUAAUGCCUAGGAAUCUGCCUGGUAGUGGGGGAUAACGUCCGGAAACGGACGCUAAUACCGCAUACGUCCUACGGGAGAAAGCAGGGGACCUUCGGGCCUUGCGCUAUCAGAUGAGCCUAGGUCGGAUUAGCUAGUUGGUGAGGUAAUGGCUCACCAAGGCGACGAUCCGUAACUGGUCUGAGAGGAUGAUCAGUCACACUGGAACUGAGACACGGUCCAGACUCCUACGGGAGGCAGCAGUGGGGAAUAUUGGACAAUGGGCGAAAGCCUGAUCCAGCCAUGCCGCGUGUGUGAAGAAGGUCUUCGGAUUGUAAAGCACUUUAAGUUGGGAGGAAGGGUUGUAGAUUAAUACUCUGCAAUUUUGACGUUACCGACAGAAUAAGCACCGGCUAACUCUGUGCCAGCAGCCGCGGUAAUACAGAGGGUGCAAGCGUUAAUCGGAAUUACUGGGCGUAAAGCGCGCGUAGGUGGUUUGUUAAGUUGGAUGUGAAAGCCCCGGGCUCAACCUGGGAACUGCAUUCAAAACUGACAAGCUAGAGUAUGGUAGAGGGUGGUGGAAUUUCCUGUGUAGCGGUGAAAUGCGUAGAUAUAGGAAGGAACACCAGUGGCGAAGGCGACCACCUGGACUGAUACUGACACUGAGGUG